RNAcentral lists this long non-coding RNA (440 nucleotides) under Olea europaea (common olive). RNAcentral describes it as "long non-coding RNA (OEUR_LNC005837)". Lineage: Eukaryota; Viridiplantae; Streptophyta; Magnoliopsida; Lamiales; Oleaceae. The record is from RNAcentral.
CGUGUGAGAGAGAGAGAGACUUCCUCCCCUUACAUGAAAUAAGAAGUAUCACAUACUUUGAAUAUUUAUUUUUCCUACAACUUAUAAGGAUUUUGCCCUUCUUGAAAAAUAUAAUAUUUUUUAUAAUUCUAAUCGACAAUUCUAUUUUUUAGUAAUGAAAAACUUGUUAUUCUUAACCCUUAGGCUCAAGAAACUCGUUAUUCACUUAUGACAUAACCAUGAGUUGCUCAACAAACUGAUAUGAUCCUGAGUUUGCUCUACUGCUUCUGCAGAAGUCAGGAGGAAUUCCCUUGCCAGUGCUGUACGGAUGAAUCUGGGAAGCUGCUGGUAAUUAAACACUGCUGUUGGUCGUUGCUGCUUGGAUCUGCUCAUCCAACAAAGAUGAAUUAUAUGCCAAUCAAUUCUAGAACUGAGGAAUGUAAUAGGAUUGCAUAUUCAUA